RNAcentral lists this long non-coding RNA (640 nucleotides) under Equus asinus (donkey). RNAcentral's name for it is "lncRNA (ENSEASG00005029152.1)". Lineage: Eukaryota; Metazoa; Chordata; Mammalia; Perissodactyla; Equidae. The record is from RNAcentral.
AAAAGAGUGGAGAUGUAUGUGUUUUAAGCAUGUGCCUACUUUAGAUUGUCUUUUUUCUUUUAUUGGUUUUGUUAAAAAAAAAAAAAGGACAUUUAUUUCCCACACAAUCACAAAAAGGAAAGAAAGAAAGAAAAAGCUUGGCAAAGCAAUAUUUUGUAUUCAUUUCAGGAACUCUCAACCUGAUCGAGAAAAAUGAUGGAACAUCUUCUCGUCUUCAGGUGCCCAAGACGUAUUUAGUCCCUGAGAAUCGUCCUAAGAGAGGCAUUUUCCGGUUAGCCUGCAGCUUCAGGAAGACCCGGCACAGGAGAGAGGCUGGCAGAGCUGAAAGCUCAGAGGAUGACAUCGGACUUGCCGGGGCGCGUAGAGGACAGUGCUGGGCUGGCAGCGGUGCAGAAGUUUCCAGGCUUUCUCCCCUCUGCUCCAGCUGGAAAGGAACCCCAGAGGAGCUCAGAAAAUCACGAAUGGAGUGGAAGAACAGCCUCAGAAAAGUCAGGAUGCCAAAUCAUCAUGGUUUGAUUUCUGCUUUCAUGCACAAGCAGUUUUAGAGAAAGCAAAGCAAGACGUAUCAGAGACACCACAAACCUAGUCUGGAGACACGUUCUUUAGCAGACAACCCCCGUACCCUGCUGUGUUGUCCUCA